RNAcentral lists this unclassified non-coding RNA (2099 nucleotides) under Hevea brasiliensis (rubber tree). Lineage: Eukaryota; Viridiplantae; Streptophyta; Magnoliopsida; Malpighiales; Euphorbiaceae. The record is from RNAcentral.
AAAAUAUUUAUAUUUCGUGGCACGGAUAUAUAUAUAUAUAUAGAUAUAUUCUUUAAUGACAGUAGUAUAGAUUGUUUUUAGCAUAUUAUCAAUUAAGAGUUUGUAUUUUAUGAAUUUAUGUCGUUAAAGUAUUUAUAAAAAAUAAAAAUAUCUUUUACAUUGAAUUUAUAAUUUAAUUAGAAUUUAUUUGAAUUAGACGUAAAUAUUUAAGUAAUAAUAUAAUUUUUUUAUGCAAAUAUUGAAUAAAUUUAAUUAUAUGAAAAAAGUUUUUUAAAAAAAUGAAAAACUAUGAACAGUGUCAGGGAUUAUAUAUAGAGUGGUGGAGAGAAUUCGGCUCAAAAUGCAAAAGUUGACCAUGCAGAUUAAUUUUAUUUUAUUUUCCGAUUUUGAUAGUUAUCUGUUCAGUUUGAUUUUUAUUUUUUUAACUUUUUAAUUAUUAAAAAAAUUAAAAAACCCAAAUCGAAUCGAUAUAAUUUUAGUUGGCACAUUUAUUCGUCUGGAAUAUUACUUUUUGUGGUAAUGUGUUUUUGUUAAUUCAAUUCUUUUAUUGAAUCAGUUUGAUUUAAUUUUUGUAAUAUUAAUUAUUUAUUGUUUUAUUUUUUUAAUUUAAUUUUGAUUCAAUAACAGAAUUGCUUACCCAUAAUUAUAUAUGUUUGGUAGUGCUUGGAAAUCCUAACCACAGUAGGUAAGUUUUAAUCUUCUUUCUCUUAAUUUUUAGGGUUGUUUUAAAGUUAAUGUAAAGAUUAAUAAAAUCUAAAGUUUAAAGUUAGAUUUAAGUUGUCGAGAAUAGUUUUAGUUGUUUAAAUUCUAGAAUGGGAUAAUGGACCUAGGAAGAGAACUUUAGGAGCAAGUGUUGAUAUUUGGGUGUUUAACCAUAAGUUUUAGAUUCUAAACGAAUUGUGGGAAAUUUCAGGUUCAGUGGCUAAAACAUGGAAGUUUGGUUGCCGAAACAUGUAAACAGUAACGUAAAUAGUGUAUAGAAAGUUAGGUCGCCAGACAUUCAAAUUUUGGCUCCCAAACUUGCUUUGCCAAUGCAAAUGUGUUUUUAAUUAAAAUUGUUUAAAUCUAAAACUAAAUGUCUUAUCAAAUCAAACCUUUUCUUGUAAACAAGAGUUAGGACAUGAAGGGCCAAAAAUCAAGAAUCUAAGAGUCAUCAGAUGAAAGUGUAAGAGUUGACACCAUAAGGUGAAACUCUAUUAAAAUAAAUGCUCCUCUAUGCAUACACGUGCAUUCAUGCAUCCUGACCUAUUUUAUCAGAUAUAAAUGCAUCCUUUGGUUAAUUAUGUAAAUAUUUUACGUUCACAAUUACGCUGUAUAAUUGCUUAUGUUGUUCUGGUAGUUCAUGGAUUACAAAGUGAUGCCAAAAGAAAAAAAGAAAUACAUGCAUGCUAAAUGGACUCACAAACUCCUUGAGGGAAAUGAUCCGGUGUAUAUUCCAAGAUGAGGUGGUGAGAUCCACAAGGCUCCUUGAGGGAAAUAAUCUAGUGUUUAUCCAAAGACAGAAGGCCUAGAAAAGAUGGGGAACCUGGUAAAGUAAUUACGUGUUUCUAACCCUAUUUAUUUGAUAUGAUAUGUUUAUGAAAUGGCUGAAGAAUCACUGAUGACAUGAAUUGCCUUGCUGUGAAUUGUUUAUGCUGUGAAAACUUAUGUGACUACUGCAUAUUCAUGUACUUGUAUAUAAUUGUUUACAUGUAUGUUUUAUUCCUUAAGUAGACUUUUACUCACCGAGCUCUCAACUGACUCCCCUUUUUUUGUCUCCACCUUUAGAGACGAGUAUAGAAGAUACAAUAAAUGGUUUUGCUAGCUGAGUUCUAGAGGUUAUUGCCUCAAUUUUACUGUACAUUUUGUGGAACUUCUUUUGUAAUGACAUGUAAUUUUGCUAUUGUAGUACUAUAUUUUGCCACCCAAUAUUUUGUAAUAUUAAAAUGUAAAUAUUGUUUUAUGUUAGUGAAAGUAUUUUCAUGAAUAACAUGAGCCUUAAAUGAAAAAGUUAUGCAUGUUAGACUUGCUACAGACUUAGGAAGCCUUAUGCUGGCCUAAGUCUCAGUGUAGGUAACAGUCUUAGAUUUUGGUUGUUACGCUAAUGGUACAUGAAAAGA